AUUGAACGCUGGCGGCAUGCUUUACACAUGCAAGUCGAACGGUAACAGGUUAAGCUGACGAGUGGCGAACGGGUGAGUCAUGCAUCGGAACGUGCCCGAUCGUGGGGGAUAACGCAGCGAAAGCUGCGCUAAUACCGCAUACGAUCUGAGGAUGAAAGCGGGGGACCGUAAGGCCUCGCGCGAUCGGAGCGGCCGAUGUCAGAUUAGGUAGUUGGUGGGGUAAAGGCUCACCAAGCCGACGAUCUGUAGCUGGUCUGAGAGGACGACCAGCCACACUGGGACUGAGACACGGCCCAGACUCCUACGGGAGGCAGCAGUGGGGAAUUUUGGACAAUGGGCGCAAGCCUGAUCCAGCAAUGCCGCGUGCAGGAAGAAGGCCUUCGGGUUGUAAACUGCUUUUGUACGGAGCGAAAAGGCUCUCUCUAAUACAGGGGGCUCAUGACGGUACCGUAAGAAUAAGCACCGGCUAACUACGUG
Molecule: ribosomal RNA, 477 nt
Filed under: uncultured bacterium
Lineage: Bacteria
Description: partial 16S ribosomal RNA
Rfam family: Bacterial small subunit ribosomal RNA
Source: RNAcentral